UAUAUAUUUUAGUUGUAAGAUGGACACAAUACCUCUAUUGAUUUAUUUAUGUGGUGCUUCACACAUGGUAGGCGAGAGUUCUAUCGCUGAGCACAACCCUACCCCCACUCACACACCCCCAGCCUAGUAAAUCAGAUUCAAAAGAUUUUAUUUUCCCAUUUCUGUUCAUUUUUUGAUUAUAUGAUUUAGGGUCCUAUAUUUCAGGCAACAAACUAUUUAAGGAAAAGAUAAAUUUGUUUGAAAGAUAUAUUGAUCUCAAAGCCUUCAAAUGUAUUGCUAGUUGCUCUCAGAUUUGGUGGGCAGGAACCAAGAAAGUGUCAGAGUCAAGGAGGAGAAAGUAAAGAUGUAACCAUGAUGGAUGUCAGGAGUGUCUCAGGACAGAAGCUAUGUGCACAUCUGUAAGUCCUGAGUAAAGGGGUACUGAACAGUUAUGCACCCCACAAUAGAUUGGGCUUUACCUCUGCUCAGAUAAGGAAGAUGUGACUCCAGGAGUGGGUGUCACCUGAUGGGUUAAAUUACACCCACCUGUUCCUUUGUAAUCCUACCCCUUUGCCCUUUUUGGGAUAGAAUGUUCCAUGGAACCUCCCUUUGUGAGUCUUCUAUAUAAGAAUAAAGAAUUCCAGUGGCUCUCUCUUUUUCCAUGGACCCCUAAGGUCACAGAGCCAUCCCCGGAUUUUCAAAAGGUACUUGGUAUUUCUGUGUGUUUGCAUGCUUUCUUUGCUUUUUCUUAAGUGAUUGGAAUAGAUUUUGUGAACCCAGCAUAGGUUGCUUGCUUGAAUAGAUCAAGAUAGAUGGGUUCGCUUCCUUGGUGUGUACAAAGUAAGCAACAACCAGGAGGUAAAAGUGAAGAAAGGUGUUAUUGUUUGUAGCAAGUAAAGGGAACAUGGGACAACUCUCAAGGCAGUGUGUCCUGGAACAAAGGAAGCAAGGGACUUUUACUGGGGAAACUUGUGCAUAUUCAUACUGGAAAAACUUGUCAUUGCAUGCAGAGGCAGACACAUUCUUGGGCAUGUUCAGUCUGAGAUCAUGCUUUAUACAGUGUUCCAUGCACUUUUUCUCUGGAGGGUCUUGUCUGAAACUAAUAACUUAAAAGGAUGUUAGCAGUCAGCAGUAGCUUCCUUUAUAAGCAGAUGCUUAACGCUGUAAGUUUCUGCCUGGCAGAUAACAAAGGACUGAUAGUGGGAAUAGCCUGGGAAGAAUGAUGAGUCUUUUCUGCCCUUUCUUGUGCUUUGCAAGAUAGGUUCAAGGUUCAUAGUCAUCGGAGAGAGUUACCAGUUUACCAAGAUUAGGUCUCAUGCCUCCUUUUUUUAUCUUUUGUAAUUGAAGGCAGCAUCCAAAAUUCUUUUGGAAUGGGUGACUCGUUAUUAAGCAACUGAAAAAAAACCAAAAACAGAAUUUUGCUAUGCUUUACUCUUGGCUGGUCAGUGUCCAUACAUAACUUUCCUUUCAUACUCAAAGUUAGAAAAGUGCUCAUGUGUAAAUGCAACCAUUGCAUGCCUACAUCUAAUACCUAGACCAAGAUCUUCAAAUUAUGUCCAUUCUUCUACUUUUGCUAUGUUCUUUGAUAGUCUGCAAAUUAUGUUAUCAUUUUAAUACUAAAGGAUAGAAAAGAGAUGAGAAAUUUACAUGUUACAUAUGACAGAGCAAGAAAAUAAAAAUGCUGUCCUAUUUAAGCACUGGAAGGUCAUGAGACCUUCCCUUUUAUUUAUUUUAUUAACUAGUUUUCUUCCUUAACCUAGUGACCUGACACAUCUAAGCUCUUGUUGGUUCAUUUUUGCCAAUGUAUAUGGUAGUAUAAGGACAUUCCCCAGUGUCCUCAGUUUUUCCUCUAUAUUCCUCCUUGUUCUCAUUGAGUAGCAGUUACUGUAUUAUAAGGUUAAGACACCCAAUUUACAUGAAGGUCUUUUUUUUUUUUCUUGAUUAUCCAUUGGAUAAAGACUAUAAAAUUACCAUGUGGCAGUUUGAAUUCUUUUGAACUCCUUUCUCCAAUACUAAAAUCUUUAAAGCUUCACAGUCCAGAGUCAGAGAAAAAGAAAAAGGUUUAUGAGUGGGUCAUAUGUAACAGAGGCAUUAGCCAAAUGUCAACCUCUUGGUUCUUGGAUCUAUGGUUUAUAACCCGUGGGAAAAAGAGCAUGAAGUAUAAGUAGCUGGAUAAAAACUUAUGCUGCAGCAAGAAUAGACCCCUAACUUUAAAUCUUUCAACUAGCUUUAGAACUAAGUUUUUAAUACAUUAUUCUUGUGUUUAAAAACAGCAGCUGAGAAUAAGAGAUGUCAAAAAAAAAACAAAAACACAUCUUACUUCUUGUAGUAAGUUCAUUGACCAAGCAAUGUUAGGGAAAUCCAUGAUUAUGUAUAAAUUAUUAAGUAAAUCCAUAAAUAGUGGUGCUGCCAGAGAUGAAGUAAAUCUAAGACUAGUAAGGACAAAGGUCGUAUAGUGCUACUCCUUCAAAUGCUAUUAAUUGACUAUCCAGCAGCUGACUGAUUUGCCCAAGGAUCAGGUUAUUAAGCCUUAAUUAUGAUGUCUUUUUUAGACUCUUUAUUAUGUACAUAUACCUAGACUGAACUUUACACUUACCAGGUACUUUGCAAUUAUUUAUAACUCUUAUUGAACAUCUAAUCUAUACCUAGAAUUGUAAAUUCUUUUAGGGAAAAUUUUUUCGGAAGAAAUGGCUUUAUGUCUUGUGAAUCUAAUUAAAAUGUAAGUAUAUAACAAUAAAGCUUACUGUAAACACCUAAGUAGAUAUUUUCCACACUAGUACAAAUAUCUGUUUAUACAAUACUGAAAAUUUUUUAAAACUCUAAAAAGCUAAAUGCAAUAUUUAAGCUGGGCAUGGUGGUAUAUGCCUAUGGCUCUGGAGGAUCACAAGUUCAAGUCAAGCCUGGACAACUUAUACCCUGUCUCAAAAAAAUUUUUUUUAAAGAAUAUGUAAUAAAUGUGAUGUUUAAAACAUAUUUUUAUGUCCUUUUGAUCUAAUGCUACUGGACUGAGCAGAUAACUGGUGUGACUAAGGGACAAUCAGAAUAUAAUUUAUUCAUACUUUCAUAAAUUAAUGUCAGAACAAGCUUCCAUAGUAUUUUGAAUUAUUUACUCCAUAGUAUUGCGCAAAAUGAGUCGUUUCUCUGUACAGAAGUGUCUAACAAUAUGAAAAGUUUCACCAAAAAUCAA
This 3166-nucleotide long non-coding RNA is filed under the name Marmota monax (woodchuck). Lineage: Eukaryota; Metazoa; Chordata; Mammalia; Rodentia; Sciuridae. The record is from RNAcentral.